Molecule: long non-coding RNA, 1387 nt
Organism: Leopardus geoffroyi (Geoffroy's cat)
Lineage: Eukaryota; Metazoa; Chordata; Mammalia; Carnivora; Felidae
Exons: 4
Source: RefSeq, a predicted model, not a curated record
CUCUGCUCCUCUCCCCCUCUCAUGUGUUCUCUCUCUCUCUCUCUCUCUCAAAUAAAAAAAAAAAAAGUGAAUUCCAAGGGAGAAUGCCUGAGUUCUGAGGCUCUUCCUUCUCCACCUGCCACGUUCGAGAAGCCCAAGUCCCUGUGGACAUCACCCGGAGAAGGAGCCGUCCUCAGUGGGCCCUGAAUUCCUGACCCACGGAAUUGUGAGAAAUAAGAAAAUAGUUGCUGUUUGAAGCCACUGAGUUUUGGGGAUAGUCUAUUACACGGCAACAGAUAAGACAAACAGGAUGCGUUUAUGCAAUUCUUGCGGAGGGACAGUGCCACGCGGAGGAACAAGCACAAACAAUGAAGGUUAGAUGGACCUGGGUUCGAAUUCCUCAGCCACCAGGAGCUGUGUGAUGCUCGUUGCAGAAGCCUGGCCGCAUCCACUCCGUCGGAACCCUGUGGGCGCCUCCCUAUCUGCAAAUGUUCCAGGUUGCACAGUAUUUUGUAAAGUCCACGGGACUGAUGUAUCCCCAGUGCCCAAAGCAGUGCUUGGCGCACAGUGUGUGCUCAGGAAGUACUUGUUGAAUAAACGAGAUGGACAGCCUAAGCCCAUUUGAAGGAGCAGCCCUCUAACGGGCCAGAGAUGAGCCGAGGCUGUGUGUUUGAACUUCUAUCGCUACGGUCUGGAAGUCGGCACUCGCUAAGGGCGGACAUCAUUGGUGGCCUCAUCCAUGUUUGGCCCCUCCUGCAUCUCUGCUCACAGAAUCCAAUUGUGCCCAGAGCAGCGGUGUGUCCAGCCCCCGGUGGUGGAUCCUGACUGGUCCACACUAGUCAUGACGACCCUUCAUCUUCCCAGCCUCCUUUGUGGCUAGGAAUGGCCAUGGAGCCUGUUUUGGCCAAUGAGACCAAAGUGGAAGCCUAUUGGUUAUGGGAAGGGUUUCUGGGAAAGUGUUAGCUUUCGUGGUAGAUGGAGGCCAAUGCAAUUGCACCUGUCCUUCCUCCUUCCUCCGCUGAAGGUGGAUGUGACUGCUGGAGCAGGAGAAGCUGUCUUGUAACCACGAGCAAGAGGCCAAGAGAACUGCAAAGGAGCUCUGAAACUUUUUAUAACUUCUUGUUAUAAAACAAGAACAAUUCCCCAAGUCAGUAUAGUCAGGUUUUCUUUUACAUGUGGCCAAAGAAUGCUCAAAUGAUACACAGGUUGUCUGGUUGAAAAAACUGAGUCAUGUAUGACACAUGAGCACGAAGGCUUCAAAGAGUUUCAGAGCCCUUACAUGUCCUUGAUUGAAGGGGUAAACUGAUAGAUUAAGUCCAAGAAACUGAAUUUUAUAGAAGACUUUUACAAAGAGUGUCAGGAGUCAUGUGCUCAGCUUGUCAAUAAAAACAAGAAAAUCUGCAACUUU